GUGGUGGAGAGGGUUUGAGCAAUGACGUUGAUGGUGAUGACGGCAGCCGGCCGGCGCCGGAGCUGCACCGGCGACGACUGCAGUAGAGGUUCGGGUUCACUUCAGAUUUUGUCGGGUUUUCGGCUCGGUUUCGGGUCUCGGUCAAAGUUGGUCAGCCGCGGUUCGGGUGUGGUUCGACGGGUCAGAUUGAAUUUUCCUUUCAGCUUUAUGACCUCAAGCAGCAAGGUUUCAUAGAGAGGCAAGAGGUGAAAUUUUUUUAGUAGACGAAAACACUGCGUUUUAGCGAUUUUUAUUACAAGAA
Helianthus annuus (common sunflower) is the source of this 301-nucleotide long non-coding RNA. RefSeq lists it as uncharacterized. NCBI's taxonomy places the organism in Eukaryota, Viridiplantae, Streptophyta, Magnoliopsida, Asterales, Asteraceae. The transcript is spliced from 3 exons. The record is from RefSeq and is a predicted model, not a curated record.